Callithrix jacchus (white-tufted-ear marmoset) is the source of this 96-nucleotide small nuclear RNA. The record is from Ensembl. NCBI's taxonomy places the organism in Eukaryota, Metazoa, Chordata, Mammalia, Primates, Cebidae.
GUGUUAUAUGAAAGGAGAGAAGGUUAGCACUCUCCUCGACAAGGAUGGAAGAGGCCUUGGGCCUGACAACACACAUACGGUUUUUAAAAAAUUUGU